UUGGCCCCGGGUUGGACAGCCCUGCUCUAAACCAAUACUUCUCAUUCGGGAGUGGUCUCCAAUGGAAGGGGUGUGCACGCCUUGCCCACGGGUGAGGAAGCCUAAUCCUUCCGGGACCGCACCCACCUGGUCCGUAAGGUUCAGGAGCCCGGCGCACACGGCCACGGCGGGGGAGCU
Molecule: non-coding RNA, 177 nt
Filed under: Cytophagaceae bacterium
Lineage: Bacteria; Pseudomonadati; Bacteroidota; Cytophagia; Cytophagales; Cytophagaceae
Description: 6S / SsrS RNA
Rfam family: 6S / SsrS RNA
About the family: E. coli 6S RNA was the first non coding RNA to be sequenced, but its function was unknown until recently.
Source: Rfam by way of RNAcentral